Long non-coding RNA from Triticum aestivum (bread wheat), 4205 nucleotides. RefSeq lists it as uncharacterized. The transcript is spliced from 9 exons. NCBI's taxonomy places the organism in Eukaryota, Viridiplantae, Streptophyta, Magnoliopsida, Poales, Poaceae. The record is from RefSeq and is a predicted model, not a curated record.
ACCCUUCGCCCGGGCCGUGCGUAUGUCCUCCUCAAGCCGGAUUUCAUCUUGCUCGUCCUCCUCGAUCGAUUUGCCCGUUCAGAAUCGCGUUUGGAUUUGAUUUUGCCCGUCCUUGCCGUCGCCGGUUUAGAUAGCUACAAUCCCGCCUGAUUUGAUUUUGAUCGUUCUCGUCGUCCGUUUAGAAUCGCGCCUGAUUUGAUUUUGCUCGUUCUCACCGUCGUCCGUUUAGAACCGCGUCCGAUUUGAUUUUGCUCACGCUCAGUUCGUCAGCUUAGAACCGCACCUGAGUUGAUUUUGUGCGUCCCCGCCGUCGUCAGUUUAGAGUCGCUCGCUUCUGAUUUGAUUCUGUUCGUCCUCGCCGUCGCCCGUUUUUGCUCGUCCUAGCCGUUGCCCCGACGCGCCCGCAUGUUCUUGGUCCUGUCUCGUCGAGGGUCUCUCGUCUGGUUUGCAAUUGAGAAAUCUUUGCGUGCUCUUCUAUUAUCUGAGAGACGCUCUGGAUCCUGCGUUUCUUCGUGUUCGUGUCAGCGCGAGCGUUACAGUAACGGUCGGGUCUUGGUUUUGAAAUUGGGUUCCGGCCAGAGAUGGAGAGGCGGAGAGCAGUUGUCAGUUUGUCGCGCUAGUUCAAAUUGGUUCCUAGGCUCCUGCGGUUGUUCGUCGGUCGUUUUCAGAUCUCAAACGGCUAGCUUGUUCGUGUUCGUCCGUCGAGAAAUGUGCCCUUUGAUGCUCUGGUUCCUCUGUCGAUUCUGAUUGUACCGGCUAGCUUGUUCCACUUUCGUCAGGCUAGAUGCAGGGGUGAUUUUGUUCUGACGGGUGUUACUGCUUCUGUUCUUUUCAAUUGGUUGGUUACUUCCUAGAGUAUCAUGCUUUGCUUAUGUUCCCAUAUAUGGUGAUGUGUGUUCAGCGGUGCAAACCAUUAACCAUGUAGGCCGUGGGUGCCAUUUCGAGCAGGCAGAGUAGAAAUUUCUAAGAGAGUGCAAAUCAUGUGGCUUGCUGAUUGACUAACUGAACACCUGCUGCUGCUACUGUUUGACAAGGUUUCCUGCUUUUCUUCCUUGUGUUGCUAUUUACAUUUCCAUAUAGGAGUACUAGAGACUUUGUUCUAGAUUGCAUAGCAUAACUCUAUAAUUUUGUCAUUGCACACUUGGACAUAUGAUUCUGCUAUGAGCAUAACUCCAGAGUUUAUUUAUCUGUGAAAGAACGUUCAUCACAUGUUGUUUAUCAAUGCUGCUCACUUUAGUCACGUCCCUUUUGUUUCUCCUGUUAAAUUUUAUGGAGCAAAUUUUGUACUCACUUGUUAAAAUAUCAAGAAUGGUGACUUCUGUGUUUGUCGCUAUGUAAGCCAUGCACUUGGGAAGCCUGGGCAUGAUUAGGAUUAGGAUUGCAUAUAGAUUUUAUUCUAUGUUUGUUUAUAACCUGGUUGUGACCUAACAUAGUGUAAAUCUGCUAAUUUUUAAAUUUAAUUUAUGUUCAACGCAAGUAGGUUUUGUUAGUAAGUGGUAUUUCUGAUAUCAAUUACUAUUGUCCAGUCACUGAAAUACUGCUUUUCUUGCUUUGCCUAGACUUUGUGACAAGAAUAAGCAUGCGUCUCUGUGCCUACAAACUUGUGGGUAGUGAUGAUGAUCUAACUAGCUUCCUGUUUUCAGGAAUGAAGAUCUGAAUUACCCUCACCCCUCUACAGAAAUCAGUUUACCUCAUUCGGUUUCUGGAACUUCUAUAUAGCUUUCUGAGUUUACUUCGGUCUUGCAUGUAUUAGCUUUCUGUUUGUACCACUAUCUAUGUCUGUUUCUUUUUGUGUUUCUUGUGUGCAAGUGCUCCAUUGUGUGUGUCUUGACUAUGUGUCUGACUGUGUGUGUGUGUGUGAUGUGCCACUAUCUAUGUACGUUUCUUUGUCUGUUUCAUGUGUGUAAGUGCUCCAUUAUCUGUGUGUGAGUGUGUGACUGUGUUUGAAUGCUUGGAUGGGGUGAUUCUGAUUGUGUUACUGCUUAUAUGGUCUGUCCAAUUGGUUUCUUAUUCAUGCUUUGCUUGUAUUCCAAUGUCGUCUCCCCAUAUAUGGGGAUAUGUUCAGGGAUGCAAACCAUUUAGGCUGUUUCGAGCAGGCAGGGAUCUAGAUACGUGCACUGGUCAGGCUUCUCUCCUGCUGAUAGAUGAUGAUGGGCUGAGCAGAAAAGUUUGACUCUUGUAGGAUAUAGACAAAUGUCACAUUUGCUCUUCCUUGUGUUGCUAAGGACACUAGUGGGUAGGGUUUGCUUACCGCGCAGGACCGAUAAUUCUGAUAGUAGCUGAUAGUAUGCCAAGGACUGCUCAGGGUUCCUAUCACUUUCUGUUUUACCAGCUAAGGUAAUCGAAUUUUGAUCUUCAGCUUGCAAAUUUAUCACCUUAUGGGAGGGAAAGGUUUGCAUGUACAUGAGCUUUUAUUAUCUACAUAUAUACUUGAAUUGCUUUGGAUUUGUUGGACGACUAUUCUACAUGAUGUUCUCCAUGAUUCACUUGAUCUGUUAAUUUGAGUAUUUUCCUGGUGAGUUCUUUAGGUUCAUCUUGUGACACGAAAUACAAUUUGCUCUCUGUCUCUCUUACACUUUUCUUUGUUUAUAUAACAGUAGUGGCCUCCUGGCUUGUAGUUGGGUAAUGCAGAGAGAGGUUUGGAAUUGAAGAACUAAAAUAAUGCAGAGUUGAAGGUUCUGAGCGGGAAGCUUGAACAAAUAGUUUACUUUUUCUCAUGUCUUUGAUUAGUUUCAUCCUAUCUAUGUCUGUUUCUUGUUUGCAAGUACUCCAUUGUGUCCGUGUGAUUGUUUGUGUGUGUGACUGAUUGUGUGUUUCUUUGUCUGUUUCUUGUGUGCAAGCGCUCCAUUGUGUGUGCGCGUGUGUGUUGACUGUGACUGUGUGUCAUUUAAUGACUGUGACUGUGUAUUGAUUGUGAUUGUGUGUGUGCUGACUGUGUGUCAUUUUAUGACUAUGACUGUGUAUGUGACUAUGUGAGUGUGUUGACUAUGACCGUGUCAUUGUGCAAGCGCUCCAUAACUACCUAUGCAUGGAAAUUUCUAUAAGGUCAUGGGCAUGUAAUUUAAUGACCUACAUACCUCUGUAGUUGGUAGUGUCAUUGCCCUUUGGACGCUCUUCAAUGCAUUGCUGUAUAUUUUCCUGCCACAAGUAUGAUGUUUGUGCUCAGAAUGAUGUAUAUGUAGAAUCCAGGGUGGAUGGAGGCUUUCAUGAUGGCUAAUUUGAUUUGUAAUGGUUCUGAUGGUGUGCUUCUUGUGUUUGAACUAAAGCCGUGGAUCACUCAUCAACCUGCUGAAUUAUUUCCGGAUAGGACAGAGGUGCAAUGUUUACAUACUUGGCAGAAGGUUCUUUAACACUGAACUCGUCAAAGGUCCUUGGACUCAAGAGGAAGAUGACAAAAUUAUUGACCUUGUAAACAAGUAUGGACUAACAAAAUGGUCGCAUUGCAAGGUCAGCUACCAGAACUUCCUACUGCUGAUCCUGGAAUGUUUCCGAACAUGCUCCCGAACAUGUUCAAUUUAUCAGCCCUAGGACAGCCACUGCCAUGACAUCGCAGGCUACUCGGCAUGCUCGGCGUGUUUAGGUCGGCGGACUUCCUCCGAUCGCUAAUAAACAGACGGUUGCUCUAUUCUUCAAUCAAGUUAUGGCUGCUAUCGGGGGAAACACAGUUGGUCUGGGUGAUGUAGUUCUUAAUACGAAGCUGAUUUUUGAAUUCAUUCAAAACAUCUUAGGUGGCAUAAUCAUCUGAAUCCAACCAUAUGGAAUGAUGCUUGGACUACUGAGGAGGAACAUGCACUGAUUAAUGCCAUCAGGUAUAUGAGAAUAAAUGAGCAGAUAUAACAAAAGUUCUUCCUGGAAGGUACUGCCAAACAACUUAUAUCAUGGGUGUUGCUUGUAGUUAGCUUUCUGUUUGUGCCCUUUCUAUCUCUGGUGUGUGUGACUGACUGUGCGUGUGACUCUGUCUGUGCGUGUGUGACUGAUUCUGUGUGACUGUUACUUUGUGUGUGUGUGUGUGUGUGUGUGUCUGAAUCUGUGUGUGACUGUGACUCUGUGUGUGACCGACUGUGUGUGUGUGUGUGUGUGUUUGAAUUAAUAUUGCAUUUGCUUGAUGGUGUGUGCUGUAUGCUUUGCUUGAUGGUGUGUCCUGUAUGCUUUGCUUGAUGGUGUGUCCUGAAUGCUUUGCUUGAAUGAUUGUAUGUUUUGUUUGU